This is a long non-coding RNA of Pyrus x bretschneideri (Chinese white pear), 1180 nucleotides long. RefSeq lists it as uncharacterized. The transcript is spliced from 2 exons. The record is from RefSeq and is a predicted model, not a curated record. Lineage: Eukaryota; Viridiplantae; Streptophyta; Magnoliopsida; Rosales; Rosaceae.
AGAUGGAUCUUCACAAAAAUUCAACAACUAUCGUUCUGGUUUGUUUCUGUGAUUUUCUCCAUGUUGUUUUCCAACGCGUCGACAAAUUUCGUGUUCUCCGUUGGCUACAAGUUCAACGGUGCUGCUUUUGCGGUGGAUCUGCAGCUCGAGGGCAAUGGCUAUCCAUUCAAAAUCAUUACUUCGCCAAGCUUGGGAUUGAACCUGUGGAACCAGCCCGUUUCAAACAGGUCGGGUUAGGUCCGGUUCUACAUCUCAAAAUCCUUAUACCUGCCUUGCCCUGGGCCAUUGCAUUUUAAAACGGGUCUGGUCCUAUCCCUUCAAAUUUGGGCCCGGCCCGGCUCGUGCCCACCCCUAGUUCACACCCUUUUAGCGAAUAUCUAAGCAUCGACACUGCAAACCGAAAGUUCUCGAAGUUAAAAAGUACAUACAUGGUCUACCUGCUCGACGAGUUCAUUUUAUACAUUGGGCAGGCCAACGCUCCAGAUGCUGGUUUCUUUCUUCUUCCAGGACAAAACAUUUUUUCUUUUUGAAACUAUAUAGUGUGAAUUUGAUCAUACAAAGUAGUUUCCUAUAUUUAAUUAUGGAUAUUUGGAAUAAUUGAGUUUUGGUGUCCGUUGGGCAAUCUGGGCUCUCCUAAUUUGCAUAAAUACAAAGAUCAGUUGCAUGUAAGCGGUGCAAUAUGGGAAAUUUGGGCAAAUUUGCGAUGCCAAAACCUAAUCUAGGUCCUCAGCCAAAAAAGAUGGUGAUACUUCUCAACGCGAUUUUGUCAGCAUGGGAGUGAGAGAGGACGGACAAGAGAUGGGAGGAAUGACAGAGGCAGAAACAACGUCCUAGAGUAUGGAAUCCAAGGUCAAUAACGAUGAUUGUUGAAGCUGAGAGUGAACAAAGUUAUGGCGGGAUCGACGAGGGCAACCUCCCAAUUGAAGUCGGUGAUGUUUUCCAGUUGGUAUUACGUGUAUUAUUCAAUUGUUUAAGGUCAUUUUGGGUGUUUGAAAGUUUCAUUAAAGGGCUCAGUGCCUCUUGCAAAUUAGGUUUGUGCAGAAGCUGUGGAAGUAAAAAAAGUCGGUUUUUCAAAGCUAGCUUUUGCUGCUUUAAACUUUCAGCUUUUUUCACCCAAAACGGUAAAAAAAACUGAAGUUGAAUGUUUACCAAACACAAAAAAAGCUCAUAGUUUUUUUUU